RNAcentral lists this unclassified non-coding RNA (239 nucleotides) under uncultured Entoloma. RNAcentral's name for it is "sequence contains ITS1". Lineage: Eukaryota; Fungi; Basidiomycota; Agaricomycetes; Agaricales; Entolomataceae. The record is from RNAcentral.
UUGAAUAAACUUGGUUGGGUUGCUGCUGGCUUUCAGGAGCAAUGUGCACACUCAUGCCAUUUUUACCACCUGUGCACCUAUUGUAGAUCUGGAUGGACUCUUUCGAGGCAACUCGGUUUGAGAACUGCUGUUUUUAAUAUUCAGCUGUUCUUGCGUUUCAGAUCUAUGUUUCAAAUAUAUACUCCAUAUAAGUAAAUGAAUGUUAACUUAUAGGCCUUCUGUGCCUUUAAAACCUAAUA